This 126-nucleotide ribosomal RNA is filed under the name Inocybe sp. PC 96111. Its description in RNAcentral is "partial 5.8S ribosomal RNA". It matches the Rfam family "5.8S ribosomal RNA", at positions 33 to 154 of the family's 154-position model. From Rfam's summary of the family: 5.8S ribosomal RNA (5.8S rRNA) is a component of the large subunit of the eukaryotic ribosome. It is transcribed by RNA polymerase I as part of the 45S precursor that also contains 18S and 28S rRNA. Functionally, it is thought that 5.8S rRNA may be involved in ribosome translocation. Lineage: Eukaryota; Fungi; Basidiomycota; Agaricomycetes; Agaricales; Inocybaceae. The record is from RNAcentral.
UUCGAUGAAGAACGCAGCGAAAUGCGAUAAGUAAUGUGAAUUGCAGAAUUCAGUGAAUCAUCGAAUCUUUGAACGCAUCUUGCGCUCCUUGGUAUUCUGAGGAGCAUGCCUGUUUGAGUGUCAUUU